GAAAACAGCGGCCCGUACCGCAAACCGACACAGGUAGUCGAGGAGAGAAUCCUAAGGUGAGCGAGAGAACUCUCGUUAAGGAACUCGGCAAAAUGACCCCGUAACUUCGGGAGAAGGGGUGCUGAUCAUACGAUCAGCCGCAGUGAAUAGGCCCAAGCGACUGUUUAUCAAAAACACAGGUCUCUGCAAAAUCGUAAGAUGAAGUAUAGGGGCUGACGCCUGCCCGGUGCUGGAAGGUUAAGAGGAGUGCUUAGCGCA
This 258-nucleotide ribosomal RNA is filed under the name Enterococcus faecium. RNAcentral's name for it is "partial 23S ribosomal RNA". It matches the Rfam family "Bacterial large subunit ribosomal RNA", at positions 1630 to 1897 of the family's 2925-position model. The record is from RNAcentral. Lineage: Bacteria; Bacillati; Bacillota; Bacilli; Lactobacillales; Enterococcaceae.